Magnolia sinica is the source of this 88-nucleotide small nucleolar RNA. NCBI's taxonomy places the organism in Eukaryota, Viridiplantae, Streptophyta, Magnoliopsida, Magnoliales, Magnoliaceae. The record is from RefSeq and is a predicted model, not a curated record.
UCUCAGUGAUGUCAAAGAUUGAUGACGAGUCUGAAGAAUAUCCAUUCUCUAUAAAUCCUGAUGUGAAUGAGGCAUUUGUCUGAGAGAA